Molecule: ribosomal RNA, 253 nt
Filed under: uncultured bacterium
Lineage: Bacteria
Description: partial 16S ribosomal RNA
Rfam family: Bacterial small subunit ribosomal RNA
Source: RNAcentral
UACGUAGGGUGCAAGCGUUGUCCGGAAUUAUUGGGCGUAAAGAGCUCGUAGGCGGUCUGUCACGUCGGCUGUGAAAUCCCGAGGCUCAACCUCGGGUCUGCAGUCGAUACGGGCAAACUAGAGUAUUGCAGGGGAGACUGGAAUUCCUGGUGUAGCGGUGAAAUGCGCAGAUAUCAGGAGGAACACCGGUGGCGAAGGCGGGUCUCUGGGCAAUAACUGACGCUGAGGCACGAAAGCGUGGGUAGCAAACAGG